RNAcentral lists this ribosomal RNA (253 nucleotides) under uncultured bacterium. RNAcentral describes it as "partial 16S ribosomal RNA". It matches the Rfam family "Bacterial small subunit ribosomal RNA", at positions 524 to 776 of the family's 1533-position model. The record is from RNAcentral.
UACGAACUGUGCGAACGUUAUUCGGAAUCACUGGGCUUACAGGGUGCGUAGGCGGCUUUUCAAGUCAGGUGUGAAAGCCCCCGGCUCAACCGGGGAACUGCGCUUGAAACUGAAAGGCUCGAGUCAGCUAGAGGUACACGGAACUUCCAGUGGAGCGGUGAAAUGUGUUGAUAUUGGAAGGAACACCGGAGGCGAAGGCGGGUCUCUGGGCCGAUACUGACGCUGAGGAGCGAAAGCGUGGGGAGCGAACAGG